Molecule: long non-coding RNA, 1058 nt
Organism: Salarias fasciatus (jewelled blenny)
Lineage: Eukaryota; Metazoa; Chordata; Actinopteri; Blenniiformes; Blenniidae
Exons: 2
Source: RefSeq, a predicted model, not a curated record
UCGAAAGUGAAAGUUUUGCCCCAAAACCCCGCCGACACGUGUCUUUGUGCCUUUUUCACUGGUUUUACGGAAAUUCUGGACCUUUUCUAGAAGGUAUACGGCGAAUAUCUGCGUUUCACUUCGACCUCACCGCAGCUUCCAGCGUCACGCACGGAUAACUUCGUCUUUUUCUGCUGCUCAGGAACCUUCAAGAGAUGGCUUCAAGACCAAGGAGAUGGCACAGCAGAGAGCUGCCGCCUCACCUGUCAGAUCUGGUCAAUAAACUUCUGCAGGAUUCAGAUUCUUUCACCUCGGAGCUCAACAGAAAAGAACCAAGGAUGAGGGAGAUCGUGAAGGAGCUUCGGAGGAUUUCUGAAGAAGUCAAAGCCAUGCAGGGAAAAGCAGACAAUCAGAGAGGAGGUGGAGCUAGAGGAGGUGGAGGUUCUUCCGUGUCCGGUGUGUUUGCUGCAGCAGCAGCUGGUGGAGCAGCUCAUGCAGGUGAAUCUUCGGCCGCAGUUGUAAAAGUAACUAAAGUGACGAGUGUGAAGGAAAGAGCUGAAAAGGCGAAGAAUCUGGGAGAAGAGUUUAUGAAGACUGUUGAACCGAUGAAGAAGCUCUUGGUUCAAAUCCAUCAAACAUGUAAAGAUCUGGAGGAGAACGUCUCCAAGUAUCAGGCUAAAGAGUCCCUGAAAGGUGUGCAGGAUCUUCAGGAGCUCCUCCAUCAGGUGUCUGAGCUGAAGGAGAAGAGUAGAGGAGCUCUUCAUGUGGUGGAGGCUUUUAUUCAAAUUGUAACCGAGUGGCUCACCAAGGUGGUGGUGUUCUUCCAGAGCUUGUUUGGCUACACUGAAACACCUGAAGAAGACCAGAAGCUGAGAGACACCAUCAUUCAGUCAGCUGAUAAGUGUCAGAAGAUCACUGAGAACUUCUGUCUGAUGAGGGAGGAAAUGGCAAAGUUCAGGAAGUGAAGAGAACUCACACACACACACACACACACACACACACACACACACACACACACACACACACACACACACACACACACACACACACACACACACACACACACACACAGACCCAGA